UACAGAGGGUGCGAGCGUUGUCCGGAAUCACUGGGCGUAAAGGGCGCGUAGGUGGCGACCCAAGUCCGUGGUGAAAGCUCGCCGCUUAACGGCGAGUCGGCCACGGAUACUGGGUGGCUCGAGCACUGUAGGGGCAGAUGGAAUUCCGGGUGUAGCGGUGGAAUGCGUAGAGAUCCGGAAGAACACCGGUGGCGAAGGCGGUUAGCUGGGCAGUUGCUGACACUGAGGCGCGACAGCGUGGGGAGCAAACAGG
RNAcentral lists this ribosomal RNA (253 nucleotides) under uncultured bacterium. RNAcentral's name for it is "partial 16S ribosomal RNA". It matches the Rfam family "Bacterial small subunit ribosomal RNA", at positions 524 to 776 of the family's 1533-position model. The record is from RNAcentral.